RNAcentral lists this unclassified non-coding RNA (366 nucleotides) under uncultured bacterium. Its description in RNAcentral is "contains 16S-23S intergenic spacer region". The record is from RNAcentral.
UCCGGCUUAUCACCGGCAGUCCCCUUAGAGUGCCCAACUAAAUGAUGGCAACUAAGGGCGAGGGUUGCGCCACUUAAGGCAACACCUCACGGCACGAGCUGACGACAGCCAUGCAGCACCUGUACGGGCUCCCGAAGGAGGACCGGCUUUCACCGGCUUCACCCCGCAUGUCAAGCCCUGGUAAGGUUCUUCGCGUUGCGUCGAAUUAAACCACAUGCUCCGCUGCUUGUGCGGGCCCCCGUCAAUUCCCUUGAGUUUUAGCCUUGCGGCCGUACUCCCCAGGCGGGGCAUUUAAUGCGUUAGCGCCGGCACGGGAGGAGUCGACACCUCCCACACCUAAUGCCCAUCGUUUACGGCGUGGACUAC